Molecule: long non-coding RNA, 222 nt
Organism: Pundamilia nyererei
Lineage: Eukaryota; Metazoa; Chordata; Actinopteri; Cichliformes; Cichlidae
Exons: 3
Source: RefSeq, a predicted model, not a curated record
UGAGGUGUGGCUUUACAUAUAAAAAGUGGCAGGUGACAGGUGAGUCAGUGGAUCAAGUUACCAGCACACAGUUUUGGUGAACUCACUCUGAUCUGAACUUACAGGGUGUGAGGUUUGAAAUUUGGAGAUGUCUGGAAAGGGAAGAGGCGGGCAUUGUCAUGAAGGAGGGCAUGGACAUGGCCAUGGUGGUGGACAUGGUCAUGGUGGUGGACACGGACAUGA